RNAcentral lists this long non-coding RNA (4631 nucleotides) under Gossypium barbadense (sea-island cotton). RNAcentral's name for it is "long non-coding RNA (GBAR_LNC022190)". The record is from RNAcentral. Lineage: Eukaryota; Viridiplantae; Streptophyta; Magnoliopsida; Malvales; Malvaceae.
UGUCUUUAUGUUAUGGCUAAUGAAUGACAUGAAAAUAUUCAAUAACAAUUAUCUAUUGAAAUGGCUAAUUAGGAGUAUGUUUGAUGUUAUGUAUGCCUAAAUGAUAGUUAAUACAAAGAAAUAAUAAAAGAGUAAAUUUGCAAUGGUACAGUUUUUGGACAGCAGCAAUGAUGUGAUUUUGAAAAAUCACCAAAAUUAGUAGAAAUAGAAUUAGAGAGUGAAUAAGAUAUAUAUUAAAGCUUAUUGAGUCUAAUUUCAUAUGAAAGAAACAAUGCAGGCAAAGAAAUUUUAUAUUAUGAGAUAUUUGAAUUUUAGUGUGACAGGGCCAGAAUGGUUUCUGAAGUCCCCUGUUCUAAAUUUAGAAAAUCAUUAAAAAUUGUACAGAAAUAAUUAUAAGUUAUAAUUUAUAUGUCUUAAUUCCUUGGUGAGUCUAUUUUCAGUAGAAACAAGUAGAAGUACCAUAUGAAAUCUGUAAAAUGAGAAAAUUAAUUUUUAGUGACGAGAGGUCAGAACUGUCGAAUAGUGAAAUAGGGGAGACUUUAACUAAUAAACUGUACUAAUUGGCCAACCCAAAAAUUCUAAAAAUUUUAUGAUAAUUAGAUAUAUGAGUAUAGUUUUAGGGAAAAUUUACAGAUUUAAAUUUUGAGUUUCGUAACUUGAGUUAUAAUUAAUUUAGCUACUACUGCGCAGUUGGAUAGUUUUAUUGUGAACAGUGAAAUAAAUUAUUUUAAUUUGUUUAAGUAUUUGGAAAAUUUUUAAUGUUCCCAUUUUGGUAAGUUAAGUUAGGUAACGCAUCGUGCCUGAUUCCAGCAACGGUCUCGGUUAAGGGGUGUUACAUAAAAAGAUGAGGAAUAGUGGGGGAGACCAUGAGGAAGAAUAAGAUAAUAAUGGCAAUAGUGACAAUGGUAAGAAUUAUGGUAAUGGGAAACCAUAGAAUGGGAAGAUGAAACCCAACAAUCCUCCGAAGGUCAAAGAGAAUGAAAAGAAGUUAGUGAAAUGUUUCUUGUGUUGUAGUCCGCAUAGGAUGCGAGACUGUUCAGAGCAAUCCAAGCUGUUUGCGACCAUUAAAAAUGAGAAAGUAGAUCCCGAUGAGAAAAAGGUAUUAAAGCUUAGAUCAAUGAUACUCAAUUCUGUGAAAGCAAAAAAGGACCGCAAUUAAAAAGAAUUGAUAUUUGUGGACAUCAACAUUGCAGGCCAAAGGAAAAGUUCGCUUAUUGAUACGAGGGCAUUCGAUUUGUUCAUAUUGGAGAAAGUCGUGGAUAAACUUGGUCUCUCAGUUAGCAAAUUGACUAAGAAGAUCAAAACUAUAAAUUCCAAAGAGGUCUCAACUAUGGGAGUAGCAUAAGAAGUUGAGCUACAGAUUGUUUAGUGGAAAGGAAAUGAAGACUUUGAGGUAAUUCAUUUAGAUUAUUACAACUUUUUUCUUGGCUUGAAUUCUCUUGACUAUAUUAAUGCUUUGUUGGUUCCUUUUUUCGAUUGCAUAUGUAUCUUGGAUACUCGUCAUCGAUAAUGUGUUAUGCUAGUGAGUCGUGAUGAGAAAGGUGGAACCAAUGUAUUAUUGGCAAUUUAGCUAGCAAAGGAUGUUUAUUGUCAUAAGUGUUGGAUCUGGUGCCCUGAGUGUAGUAUAUUCGUUUGUAAACUUGUAAUUUUUUCGAACAAAUUGGUUAAUAAAAACAAAUUCAUUAAUUACAUUAUUAUACUUUGUAUGAUUUUCCUCAUAUGAUUUUUGCACGCAAAGUAAAAUGGAAGCAAAUGUUGCUCAUUGGUUGUCUAAUGUUUAAACUAAUAUUAAGCGGUAUUACGUGGUCGGAUCGUAAUACGGAAAGAUAACUUAUAUUAGUAGACGAACCUAAACAUGUCCUUAGUCUAAUCAGAAAUGAGCAAACCGAUUGAAAGACUAAUAUUCCUUGUGAGAGAUUGAACCUUUGUAUGUGAGGUUUUGGGUGAUUGGGUGUAACAAGUUGGGACUAGAUAUUGGGGUUGCAAUUGCUUCUUUGUGUAAAGGUAGAUUAGGCUUUAGCCAAUAGGUGGUUGGAUCAAUUGUGGUAUAGAACCAUUCACUGAGUGAGGCUAAGUAGAGUAAGGUUGUUUCCAAAUUGAGCUAACAAACAAUUGUGUGCAAAUCUCUCCUUACUUUCUCUAUUUUAGUUUUUUUUAUUGCUUGUUCAAACUUGUGUCUGAACAUGUGUUUAGGAAGUAGUUUGAAUUUGUAGAAAACUGACUAGUUUGUUCAGUACGUCAAUGGAGGAAUAGUUAAUAUAUAAUAUUAAUAAUGCUGAAUAAUUUACAGUUGAUCUUGACAAUUGGGAGUGUAUGUUCAGAGCACUUUGCUGGUGUCUUUCGAAGCAAUGUAACAGUAACAUUUUUAGUCAAUGACUUCUGGGUCAGGCGAAUGUAAUUCAUAGAGCCUAUCAGAUGUGUGAAAAGAGGGUUGUUGUUUCAUAGAGGUAGAAUACUUGCCAUGGUCACCAUAAGAAUCACAGAACCUAGUUAUCCAUUGGGCUCAACCGAGGAUUAGUUGGCUAAAGGUAAGCACUGAUGGGUGAGGAGUGUGAAUAAUGGUUAUGCGGCUACUAGUGGUUUGGUUAAAGAUUACGACAGAUUUUGGAGAAUUGACUUUAUUCAGAAUAUUGAUAUUUGCUCAAUGUUAGAAGUUGAAAUGUGGUGGCGCUUACAAUGUGUGACAUCCCCAAUACCCCCUGAUUUAGGAAUCGUGGUAAAUCGAGAGUCAGUAUGUUAGAACUUGAGAAGGUUAUAAAAUAGAAAUUAUUAGUGUUAGUAAAGAGAGAAGAUAGAGAUUAAAGGUGUAACAGUCCGUUUUCAGUGAAAUCAGAACAGUGGUUUCAGAACCACAAAUUUCAAGUCAAAAAACAAAUAUUUUAAUAUUAUUUUAUGGUCUACAGUAUGAUGGAAAUAUCGUAUAAAAAUUUCGUUAAGAAAUUUUACCGUUUACAUGCUUAAUUUGAUAAAAAAGACUAAAUUGCAUUAAGUGCAAAGAUUGAGUUCUAAUAGCUAAAAGUAUUAAAUAGCUAUAAAAUUUUAAAUUGGAGGUCCUUAUAUAGUAAAUAGGCCAUUAAGGUGGUUAGUGAAUAAGUAUGAAUAGUCAUCAUUGGAAUUUCAUGAGAUAUGAAGGUUAAUUUUGGAAAUUAGUAAUUAAAGUUAUAAUAAAUAAAAUAAUCUAUUCUUGUCAUCUUCCACAAAAAAUAAAGAAACAAGAAAGAAAACCUAGACAUGGAAGCUUGAGUGUAGUAGCUUAAUUUAGCUAGCUCGGGAUCAAUUUGCAAAACUGUUAAAGUAUUAUAGUUUUGCUAUUGGUAAACAUACUUGAGUUUUGAAGUUUUAUGAUAAAAAAUGAAAGGUUGUUGGUAGAUAAACAACUUUUGUAAAGAGAAUUUUGAUGAAAUUAUCAAUUAGGGAUUAAGUUAAAAAAGAUGAUAAAUUUAUGGUAAAAUUUGUAAUUUUGUGAAAUAUAUGGACUGCUAUUAAUAUGUAUAAAAAUCGGCUAGGCUUGAGUAAGUAUUAAAUUGUAUGAAUUUCAUUUUUCGAGCCUAGAGACUAAAUUGCAAAGAAUUAAAAGUAUAGGGGUAAAGUGGUAAUUUUGCCAAAAUGUGUGUUGGACUAAAUUGAAUAUGAAUUAUAUUGAAUUGAGUUAAAUUCAUUCGUAUAGAUCUGGUUAGACCUCGUACGGAGUUAGAUCAAGACAAAGGAAAAGUAUUGUAUUAGUCGCCUUUGUAUCUACGUAAACUCGUUAAGGUAAGUUCGUGUAAUUAAAUUGUGUAAUUAUAUGCUUUGAUUGAAUUCAAUGUAUCUUAAUUGUAUUACCAUCAUAUAUGAGUACCAAUCGUACAUCCGACGAUGUAUGACGAAUAUCGAGCCCCGUUUGAACCUUAGGAAUUCGUAGGAUACAAAUGACAUGUCAUUAGGGUCACUGAUUUCAGCUCUUAUGAGCUUCCCGUUAUUCAGCUUGAAAGAGCUUACUGUUUAUAGCUCGUAUGAGCAUACAUGUAUAUGAAUUGACGAAUUACAGUUUAGUACUCCUCGUUUGUCCUACCUAUGUAUCCAACGAUAUUCUAAAUGGUUCAACGGGCACAGUUUUGUUAUGAGAUUUUAUAAGUUCGAUAUGAACUAUUAUUGGUAUUUAUAUGAAAAACAUGAAAUGUGAUUAUUUGAUGAAUUCAACCAUGUGCGUUGGAUCUUAUAUGUGUUUUUCAUGGCUAAUAUGUUGGUGAUAAUGUGUUUAGGCUUUUGGCCAAAUUGGUUGAGAUAUGCUAUGUUUACUUACCUAUUGUAAGGAUAUAUGGUAAGUUAAAUUCCGUGUUAUGCGAACUUACUAAGCUUAAAUGCUUACUUUGUUUUAUUUUUCUUUGUUUUAUAGUAAUUCGGAAGCUCGUUCGGAUUGGAAGCUGGUCGGAGUUAUUUCACACUAUCCAUCAGUCCUUUUGGCACUUUCAGUAAAUUAGUCUCGAAUAUAAUGGCAUGUAUAGGUUAUUUUGGCCAAUGUUGGUAUAUAGUUUUUUUGUUGAGACUAGCUAUUUGAAUGGAUUGAGUUUGGUAUAUUUUGAUGUGUAUAUGAGUGGCUUUAUCAUAAUUGUUGUGUGUUUGAUAUGGUAGAAUGAAAGAAAGUAAAUGGG